AUGGAGCCGACCUUGAAAUACCACCCUUUAAUGUUUGAUGUUCUAACGUUGACCCGUAAUCCGGGUUGCGGACAGUGUCUGGUGGGUAGUUUGACUGGGGCGGUCUCCUCCUAAAGAGUAACGGAGGAGCACGAAGGUUGGCUAAUCCUGGUCGGACAUCAGGAGGUUAGUGCAAUGGCAUAAGCCAGCUUGACUGCGAGCGUGACGGCGCGAGCAGGUGCGAAAGCAGGUCAUAGUGAUCCGGUGGUUCUGAAUGGAAGGGCCAUCGCUCAACGGAUAAAAGGUACUCCGGGGAUAACAGGCUGAUACCGCCCAAGAGUUCAUAUCGACGGCGGUGUUUGGCACCUCGAUGUCGGCUCAUCACAUCCUGGGGCUGAAGUAGGUCCCAAGGGUAUGGCUGUUCGCCAUUUAAAGUGGUACGCGAGCUGGGUUUAGAACGUCGUGAGACAGUUCGGUCCCUAUCUGCCGUGGGCGCUGGAGAACUGAGGGGGGCUGCUCCUAGUACGAGAGGACCGGAGUGGACGCAUCACUGGUGUUCGGGUUGUCAUGCCAAUGGCACUGCCCGGUAGCUAAAUGCGGAAGAGAUAAGUGCUGAAAGCAUCUAAGCACGAAACUU
RNAcentral lists this ribosomal RNA (616 nucleotides) under Escherichia coli. RNAcentral describes it as "partial 23S ribosomal RNA". It matches the Rfam family "Bacterial large subunit ribosomal RNA", at positions 2180 to 2795 of the family's 2925-position model. Lineage: Bacteria; Pseudomonadati; Pseudomonadota; Gammaproteobacteria; Enterobacterales; Enterobacteriaceae. The record is from RNAcentral.